GACGAACGCUGGCGGCGUGCCUAAUACAUGCAAGUCGAGCGAAGUUUUUCUGGUGCUUGCACUAGAAACACUUAGCGGCGAACGGGUGAGUAACACGUAAAGAACCUGCCUCAUAGACUGGGACAACUAUUGGAAACGAUAGCUAAUACCGGAUAACAGCAUUAACUGCAUGGUUGAUGUUUAAAAGUUGGUUUUGCUAACACUAUGAGAUGGCUUUGCGGUGCAUUAGCUAGUUGGUGGGGUAAAGGCCUACCAAGGCGACGAUGCAUAGCCGACCUGAGAGGGUGAUCGGCCACACUGGGACUGAGACACGGCCCAGACUCCUACGGGAGGCAGCAGUAGGGAAUCUUCCGCAAUGGGCGAAAGCCUGACGGAGCAACGCCGCGUGAGUGAAGAAGGAUUUCGGUUCGUAAAGCUCUGUUGUUAGGGAAGAAUGAUUGUGUAGUAACUAUACACAGUAGAGACGGUACCUAACCAGAAAGCCUCGGCUAACUACGUG
Molecule: ribosomal RNA, 499 nt
Filed under: uncultured bacterium
Lineage: Bacteria
Description: partial 16S ribosomal RNA
Rfam family: Bacterial small subunit ribosomal RNA
Source: RNAcentral